This 515-nucleotide ribosomal RNA is filed under the name uncultured bacterium. Its description in RNAcentral is "partial 16S ribosomal RNA". It matches the Rfam family "Bacterial small subunit ribosomal RNA", at positions 28 to 523 of the family's 1533-position model. The record is from RNAcentral.
GAUGAACGCUGGCGGCGUGCCUAAUACAUGCAAGUCGAGCGAAUGGAUUAAGAGCUUGCUCUUAUGAAGUUAGCGGCGGACGGGUGAGUAACACGUGGGCAACCUGCCCAUAAGACUGGGAUAACUCCGGGAAACCGGGGCUCAUACCGGAUAAUAUUUUGAACCGCAUGGUUCGAAAUUGAAAGGCGGCAUAGGCGUUCAGUUAUGGGUGGACCGGCGUCGCAUUAGCUAGUUGGUGAGGUAACGGCUCAGCAAGGCAACGAUGCGUAGCCGACCUGAGAGGGUGCUCGGCCACACUGGGACUGAGACACGGCCCAGACUCCUACGGGAGGCAGCAGUAGGGAAUUUUCCGCAAUGGACGAAAGUCUGACGGAGCAACGCCGCGUGAGUGAUGAAGGCUUUCGGGUCGUAAAACUCUGUUGUUAGGGAAGAACAAGUGCUAGUUGAAUAAGCUGGCACCUUGACGGUACCUAACCAGAAAGCCACGGCUAACUACGUGCCAGCCGCCGCGGUAA